AUGCCUCGCCUGGCUCGACGGCCACCCCGCCCGUGCCAUCCCGUACGCCAGCUUUGGCAUGGUCGUCACCGCCAUGGCAGGAACUCCAGAGGAGCUGCACGGACUGCGCGAGCUCGCAGCGGGCUGGAGGCCUCCGGCGCGCCGUUCCUCUGGUCGCUGCCGAAGGAGUCCUGUCCGCAGCUCCCGCUGGGGUUCCUCGACCUCGAGCACGGCAAGGUGGUGCCGUGGGUGCCGCAGGAGGCCAUGCUGUGCCACCCGUCAGUUGGCGCCUCUGUGACGCACGCCAGGUGGGCGUCGGUGCAGGAGGGCGUCUCCGUCGACAUGCCCAUGGCGUGCUGCCCCUUCUUCACCGACCAGAAGAUGAACGCGCAGCUAGUGGCGCGCGUCUGGGGUUUCGGCAUGGUCUUGGAGGAGCCCAUGAUGUGCGAAGCUGUGGCGGCGGCGGUGUCGUCGCUGCUCGCCCGGGAACAAGUCAUCCGAAUGUGGGAAAAGAUGCAAGAGAUGUCGGGCAAGGCGGCCAGCGCAUUCACCCCUGAUGGCGGUAGCAGGAAGAACUUAGAUAACCUUGUCAAGAUAGUAUGUCGACAACUGUGA
This 594-nucleotide ribosomal RNA is filed under the name Triticum aestivum (bread wheat). Its description in RNAcentral is "partial small subunit ribosomal RNA". The record is from RNAcentral. Lineage: Eukaryota; Viridiplantae; Streptophyta; Magnoliopsida; Poales; Poaceae.